This 63-nucleotide microRNA precursor is filed under the name Rattus norvegicus (Norway rat). RNAcentral describes it as "Rno-Mir-15-P2c3_pre stem-loop". It matches the Rfam family "mir-503 microRNA precursor family", at positions 6 to 68 of the family's 71-position model. Lineage: Eukaryota; Metazoa; Chordata; Mammalia; Rodentia; Muridae. The record is from RNAcentral.
UAGCAGCGGGAACAGUACUGCAGUGAGUGUUUGGUGCCCUGGAGUAUUGUUUCCGCUGCCUGG